GUACACUCCUGCGGGAGGCAGCAGUGGGGAAUAUUGGACAAUGGGCGCAAGCCUGAUCCAGCCAUGCCGCGUGAGUGAUGAAGGCCCUAGGGUUGUAAAGCUCUUUCACCGGUGAAGAUAAUGACGGUAACCGGAGAAGAAGCCCCGGCUAACUUCGUGCCAGCAGCCGCGGUAAUACGAAGGGGGCUAGCGUUGUUCGGAUUUACUGGGCGUAAAGCGCACGUAGGCGGACUAUUAAGUCAGGGGUGAAAUCCCGGGGCUCAACCCCGGAACUACCUUUGAUACUGGUAGUCUUGAGUUCGAGAGAGGUGAGUGGAAUUCCGAGUGUAGAGGUGAAAUUCGUAGAUAUUCGGAGGAACACCAGUGGCGAAGGCGGCUCACUGGCUCGAUACUGACGCUGAGGUGCGAAAGCGUGGGGAGCAAACAGGAUUAGAAACCCGGGUAGUCCCAUGAU
This 454-nucleotide ribosomal RNA is filed under the name uncultured organism. RNAcentral describes it as "partial 16S ribosomal RNA". It matches the Rfam family "Bacterial small subunit ribosomal RNA", at positions 331 to 801 of the family's 1533-position model. The record is from RNAcentral.